AAUGAACGCUGGCGGCAUGCCUUACACAUGCAAGUCGAACGGCAGCAUGACCUAGCUUGCUAGGUUGAUGGCGAGUGGCGAACGGGUGAGUAAUGCAUCGGAACGUGCCUUUUAGUGGGGGAUAACGUAGCGAAAGUUACGCUAAUACCGCAUAUUCUCUGAGGAGGAAAGCAGGGGACCUUCGGGCCUUGCGCUAGAAGAGCGGCCGAUGUCGGAUUAGCUAGUUGGUGAGGUAAAGGCUCACCAAGGCAACGAUCCGUAGCGGGUCUGAGAGGAUGAUCCGCCGCACUGGGACUGAGACAAGGCCCAGACUCCUACGGGAGGCAGCAGUGGGGAAUUUUGGACAAUGGGCGCAAGCCUGAUCCAGCCAUGCCGCGUGAGUGAAGAAGGCCUUCGGGUUGUAAAGCUCUUUCGGCUGGGAAGAAAUCGCACCCUCUAAUACAGGGUGUGGAUGACGGUACCAGCAUAAGAAGCACCGGCUAACUACGUG
This 490-nucleotide ribosomal RNA is filed under the name uncultured bacterium. RNAcentral's name for it is "partial 16S ribosomal RNA". It matches the Rfam family "Bacterial small subunit ribosomal RNA", at positions 29 to 507 of the family's 1533-position model. The record is from RNAcentral.